This 253-nucleotide ribosomal RNA is filed under the name uncultured bacterium. Its description in RNAcentral is "partial 16S ribosomal RNA". It matches the Rfam family "Bacterial small subunit ribosomal RNA", at positions 524 to 776 of the family's 1533-position model. The record is from RNAcentral.
UACAGAGGGUGCGAGCGUUGUUCGGAAUUAUUGGGCGUAAAGCGCUGGUAGGUGGCUCGUUAAGUCGCGUGUGAAAGCUCCAGGCUCAACCUGGAAAGUGCGCGCGAAACUGGCGAGCUUGAGUGCCGGAGAGGGUCGCGGAAUUCCCAGUGUAGAGGUGAAAUUCGUAGAUAUUGGGAGGAACACCAGAGGCGAAGGCGGCGACCUGGAAGGUGACUGACACUGAGCAGCGAAAGCGUGGGGAGCAAACAGG